RNAcentral lists this ribosomal RNA (245 nucleotides) under Cafeteria roenbergensis. RNAcentral's name for it is "partial Bacterial small subunit ribosomal RNA". It matches the Rfam family "Bacterial small subunit ribosomal RNA", at positions 1326 to 1504 of the family's 1533-position model. Lineage: Eukaryota; Bigyra; Bicosoecida; Cafeteriaceae. The record is from RNAcentral.
UAGGAAUCGUUAGUAAUCGUGAAUCAGAACGUUACGGUGAAUAGACUUAGGGUCGUGUACACACCGCCCGUCACGUCAGGGGAGUAAAAUUGGCCUGAACAUUCAAUACUAUUUUUUUAAGGAAAAUUUUAUAUUCUUAAUACUAUAAAGGUUUUAAGUGGUAUAUUUAAAUUUUCAACUUGAAUUUUUAGUUUGGUGGAGGGACGAUUUUGUGACCGUGAUGAAGUCGUAACAAGGUAAUCGUA